UUGCUUUGGCAGUACAUACACUGAAAUUGGAACGAUACACAAAUUAGCAUGGCCCCUGCGUAUGACAAGAAAACAUAUUUAA
RNAcentral lists this small nuclear RNA (82 nucleotides) under Peromyscus maniculatus bairdii (prairie deer mouse). The record is from RNAcentral. Lineage: Eukaryota; Metazoa; Chordata; Mammalia; Rodentia; Cricetidae.